GCAAUACUUGGUCGGUGAGUGGUAGAAUGCUCGGCUGCCACGCGGGCGGCCCGGGUUCGACUCCUGGUCGAUGCA
Non-coding RNA from Cooperia oncophora, 75 nucleotides. Lineage: Eukaryota; Metazoa; Nematoda; Chromadorea; Rhabditida; Trichostrongylidae. The record is from the annotation of a GenBank genome assembly.